AUGGCAGCAGCCAUCGGCGCGGAGGAGCAGGACGUGCCGCUCUUCCACCCCUCCCCGUGCGCGUACUACGUGCAGAGCCCCUCCGCGGCAUCGCACACCCUGAGCCACCCGGCGUCCGAGUCCACAGCGCUCAUCCUCUCGCCGUUUCCCGAGACCGCCUUCGCCGCCCCGCGCCGUAGCGACGACGCCGGCGCCGGCCGCCACGAGCACGACCAGGAGGCCUCCCGCCUCGCCCUGUCCCGCUACUCCUCCUCCCGCGGCUCCAACAACUCCUUCCUCACCGACAAGAAGCCCAGCGGCGGCGGCGGCAGGGGGGCGCGGCAGGUGCUGAGGGUUGUCUCCGGGCGGUCCGACGACGGCGACGGCGACGGCGCUGACCAGAGGAGCGGGGCGUGGAGGUACGUGAAGCUGGACCCGGAGGCGCCAUGCUGCUGCAUCGCGUUCCAGGUGGCGUGGAGGGUGGCCGUCAGCAUGGCGAUCGCGCUCCUCGUCUUCGUCGUGGUCACCAAGCCCGCGCACCCCGGCGUCUCCUUCAAGGUCGGCAAGGUGGAGCGGUUCAGCCUCGGGGAAGGGCUGGACGGCUCCGGCGUGAUCACCAGCUUCCUCAACUGCAACUGCUCCGUGGAGAUGGCCGUGGAGAACCACUCCAAGGUCUUCAGCCUGCACCUCCUCCCUCCGCUGCUCGACAUGUCCUUCGGCCACUUCACCUUCGCAAACUCACAGCAGGGAGAGGGGCCGUACGUCGUCGUCGGGCCGCGAGCCGCUACGACGGUGAGGCUCUUCGUGGCGGCGCAGGAGAAGCCGAUGUACGCGGCGGGGCGCGGCAUGCAGGACCUGCUCGAGUCCGGCAAGGGCGUGCCGGUCGCCAUCACGGUGCGGUCGCGGUCCCGGUACCGCGUGGUAGGGAGCCUGGUCCGGCUCACGUACCGCCACGACUCCCAGUGCGUGCUGUACCUCAGGAGGAGAACGCCGCGGCGGGACAACGCCCUCGCUGCCGCCGGCCACGCCACCUGCUCCGCGGCAGCUCUAUGA
This 1032-nucleotide ribosomal RNA is filed under the name Triticum aestivum (bread wheat). Its description in RNAcentral is "partial small subunit ribosomal RNA". The record is from RNAcentral. Lineage: Eukaryota; Viridiplantae; Streptophyta; Magnoliopsida; Poales; Poaceae.